RNAcentral lists this long non-coding RNA (220 nucleotides) under Elaeis guineensis (African oil palm). Its description in RNAcentral is "long non-coding RNA (EGUI_LNC040662)". Lineage: Eukaryota; Viridiplantae; Streptophyta; Magnoliopsida; Arecales; Arecaceae. The record is from RNAcentral.
GCCCCAGGCACCCGAUGAUAGUGGACCCGUCAGCAACCUCAAAAAUAUCCGAACUUCUCUUAAAUUACAGAGACAAAGAGCCAUUCCGUUUCAUCAGACAUCCCGAUCGAGCUUCAGCCGUCAGGCCUGAACUCUCUGGCAAGUCACAAUAAUGGCCACUACCCCACUCCACUCUCUAUAACAGAUUCCACGUGGCUCCACCACUCUCUGGCAAGUCGUG